GUAUAGGUUUUAUUAUUAUUAAUAAAUUAUUAUUAAAUAAUUGUAUUUAAAUAUACAGCCACAGAAGGUGCCAGCCCUGUUAUUUAAUAAUAUUUAUUAAAUUUAUAAAACUUUAGAGUCGUGUUGCUUGGAAGUGCAGCACAAAGUUGGUGAUAAACAUCAUCUAAGGCUAAAUAUUCCUAUGAAUCCGAUAGCGAACAAGUACUGUGAAGGAAAAUUGCAAAGUACUCCGGAGAGAGAGUUAAAGAGGACGUGAAACCGAUACGAUGGAAGCAUACAGAGCCAGUUGCACUAUUAUUAAUAAUUUUUUUUAUUAAUAAUUUUAAGCAUGGGUAUAUUGAUUAUUAAUUAGUUAUUUAUUAAAGAGUGAUAAAAUUUUUUAAAUUUUGUUAACUUUAAUAAAAUAAUUAUAUUUAUAAUUAAUAUUAUUUAUUAUUAAUGUAUUAAUAAUAUUUUAAUUAUUAAUAUAAUAUAAGACACAUGUGUUAAAUAUUAUUUAUUAAUAAUUAUUAUAUUAUUAUAAGUUAAUAA
This 531-nucleotide ribosomal RNA is filed under the name Strongyloides stercoralis. RNAcentral describes it as "partial 28S ribosomal RNA". The stretch from base 1 to 332 matches the Rfam family "Eukaryotic large subunit ribosomal RNA", at positions 150 to 664 of the family's 3401-position model. The record is from RNAcentral. Lineage: Eukaryota; Metazoa; Nematoda; Chromadorea; Rhabditida; Strongyloididae.